RNAcentral lists this ribosomal RNA (253 nucleotides) under uncultured bacterium. RNAcentral describes it as "partial 16S ribosomal RNA". It matches the Rfam family "Bacterial small subunit ribosomal RNA", at positions 524 to 776 of the family's 1533-position model. The record is from RNAcentral.
UACGUAGGGUCCAAGCGUUAUCCGGAAUCACUGGGCGUAAAGCGUGCGUAGGUGGCGCGUUAAGUGAGAUGUUAAAUCGUGGGGCUCAACCCUGUCGGUGCAUCUCAUACUGGCGUGCUAGAGGACAGCAGAGGCAAGUGGAAUUUGUAGUGUAGCAGUGAAAUGCGUAGGUAUUACAAGGAACACCAAUGGCGAAGGCAGCUUGCUGGGCUACUCCUGACACUGAGGUACGAAAGCGUGGGGAGCGAACAGG